GACGAACCGUGCAAACGUUGUUCGGAAUCACUGGGCUUAAAGGGCGCGUAGGCGGACUCGCCAGUCUGUGGUGAAAGCCCCCAGCUUAACUGGGGAAGUGCCAUGGAUACUGCGAGUCUGGAGGAGGGUAGGGGCAUCUGGAACGCUGGGUGGAGCGGUGAAAUGCGUUGAUAUCCAGCGGAACUCCGGUGGCGAAGGCGGGUCUCUGGGCCGAUACUGACGCUGAGGAGCGAAAGCGUGGGGAGCGAACAGG
This 253-nucleotide ribosomal RNA is filed under the name uncultured bacterium. RNAcentral describes it as "partial 16S ribosomal RNA". It matches the Rfam family "Bacterial small subunit ribosomal RNA", at positions 524 to 776 of the family's 1533-position model. The record is from RNAcentral.